CGUGUAGGCGGUCGGCCAAGUCUGAUGUGAAAGCCCGAGGCUCAGCCUCGGAAGUGCGUCGGAAACUAGUCGGCUGGAGCGCGAUAGAGGAGGGUGGAAUUCCUGGUGUAGCGGUGAAAUGCGUAGAUAUCAGGAGGAACACCGGCGGCGAAGGCGGCCCUCUGGAUCGUUGCUGACGCUGAGACGCGAAAGCGUGGGGAGCAAACAGGAUUAGAUACCCUGGUAGUCCACGCUGUAAACGAUGGGUACUAGGUGUUCGGGGUAUUGACCCCCUGAGUGCCGCAGCUAACGCAUUAAGUACCCCGCCUGGGACUACGGCCGCAAGGUUAAA
RNAcentral lists this ribosomal RNA (331 nucleotides) under uncultured bacterium. Its description in RNAcentral is "bacterial SSU rRNA". It matches the Rfam family "Bacterial small subunit ribosomal RNA", at positions 568 to 898 of the family's 1533-position model. The record is from RNAcentral.